This is a long non-coding RNA of Magnolia sinica, 1107 nucleotides long. RefSeq lists it as uncharacterized. The transcript is spliced from 4 exons. NCBI's taxonomy places the organism in Eukaryota, Viridiplantae, Streptophyta, Magnoliopsida, Magnoliales, Magnoliaceae. The record is from RefSeq and is a predicted model, not a curated record.
UCUCUACCGAUCUCCCUCUUCCUCUCCCGAUCUCGUAUUUCCUUUUACGGCAUAGAUUUUCCCGGAUUUUCUUUUACAAUUCGGAUUGUGAAAUCCAUUGAAUCUCCUCCCCAGAAAACAGACGCCUAUUCUUUCAUUCUCCUUUUCCCUGAAAAUUUUAGGGUUUUAUUGCUUUUUCUCGAGCUGAAAACUACGCAUUACUCUACAAUUUCAGCAUUCUGAGCUUUUCCAUGUCGAUUUGAUCUGCAUUCGAUUCGAUUCCCUGAAAGAAGAUAGCUGAUAGGCAGAGAUUUCAGCGUCUAACAUCGACAUACCAAAAUCGAGAUUUCAGCAAUCUCUAACGUAACUUGGAUGAGAAGGUGAAUGAUAGAGUCUUGUAUGAGAUUCUAGUUCAGGCAGGCCGAAUUGUAGACUUGUACAUACCUCGAGAUAGGGAAACCAGCCAUCCUAAGGGCUUUGCAUUUGCAGAAUAUGAAUCCGAAGAGAUCGCAGAUUAUGUUGUCAGGCUUUUCUCUGGCCUCAUCUCUCUUUACAAUAGAACACUGAAAUUUGCAAUAUCUGGGCAAGACAAGCCCUCUAAAAACAUGGCCGCUGCUCCGAUCACGCAUGCGUCGAACUUGCCUCCUAACCUGGGAUCACUGCCAAUGCAACUUAAGAAUACUGAAAAUUACCAACAGGCAGCUCAGUUUUUGACUCCCUGUAGGUUUUCAGUACACAUCAGAUCAGUCUCUCCUAAUUUUCUAGAAUCACCUCCCACUGGACUAGUAAGAAAUGGAAAUAGAUCAGAUGUCAACGACGACAAUUUCGAUUAUAGUAGGAGCAUUUACAGGGGGGCAUUGGAUGGCAUUUGAGACUCAUCCAAGACAAGCAAUCUAUGGUUCCAGAAAACCCAUUUGCCUAUUUCUCCUGCUAAUCUCUGCUAGGUAAUGUAUCUCUUAGCUCAACUGUGUGUAUGGCUAGAUUAAUAUCCUUUCUCUGCGGCUCAAUUCGUAGUACUCUUCGGGUGGGAAGACAGAAGCACUUGCAGUCAGCUAGGAAAGCCUCUUCGCUAUUUAGUUUUAGCAAGUAAAUUAGCAGUUACAUUAGUUUGUUUGGGUUAGUUGAUUA